Molecule: ribosomal RNA, 254 nt
Filed under: uncultured prokaryote
Description: partial 16S ribosomal RNA
Rfam family: Archaeal small subunit ribosomal RNA
Source: RNAcentral
CCCGGCGCCACGAGUGGCCAUCGCGAUUAUUGGGCCUAAAGCGUCCGUAGUCUGUCGAAUGCAUCUUCUGUGAAAUCGCUGCGCUUAACGUAGCGGCAUGCGGAAGACACGAUUCGACUUGAGACCGGGAGGCGUCGAGAGUAUUCCAGGGGGACCGGUAAAAUGGUAUAAUCCCUGGAGGACUACCCGUGGCGAAGGCGCUCGACGAGAACGGAUCUGACGAUGAGGGACGAAAGCCAGGGGAGCAAACCGGA